AGUUCUCGGGGCGGGGUGCAAUUCCCCACCGGCGGUAAGGGCGCUUUGCCCAAAGCCCGCGAGCGCCUUGGUUUUCUUGGUAGAAAACCUUGGGUCAGCAGAUUUGGUGUGAUUCCAAAGCCGACGGUAUAGUCCGGAUGAAAGAGAACA
RNAcentral lists this non-coding RNA (150 nucleotides) under uncultured Cypionkella sp. Its description in RNAcentral is "FMN riboswitch (RFN element)". It matches the Rfam family "FMN riboswitch aptamer (RFN element)". From Rfam's summary of the family: The RFN element is a highly conserved domain that is found frequently in the 5'-untranslated regions of prokaryotic mRNAs that encode for flavin mononucleotide (FMN) biosynthesis and transport proteins. This element is a metabolite-dependent riboswitch that directly binds FMN in the absence of proteins. Lineage: Bacteria; Pseudomonadati; Pseudomonadota; Alphaproteobacteria; Rhodobacterales; Paracoccaceae. The record is from RNAcentral.